GCACUGCUGAAGAGUCCCAAAAACAGGACGAAACAGCUGUCCAGUGC
This is a non-coding RNA of Echinostoma caproni, 47 nucleotides long. Lineage: Eukaryota; Metazoa; Platyhelminthes; Trematoda; Plagiorchiida; Echinostomatidae. The record is from Rfam.